UGCGGGGGCCUGUCUGAGCGCCCAGAGGCUACAAGGUGGCUGCUCCGCUCAGAGUUCUGGCUCACUGCUCUUUCUUUUCCUCGCGGCCCCUUCUUCCUCACCGUGUCUGCGGCUCUGACACUGCUGGCUGCCCCCAACCCCCACGUGAGGGUCAGGGUUAGCGCUGCUUCUGCAAAAAUGACAGGAGGAGAGACGAGGUCUAGGCUUUCAUUUGGGACUUAGGCUCGCAAAUCACGUAAGUUUAUGUGUUCAUUCUCUGACCUAGAAAAGCGGAGAAAAGAUGUUGCCCUGACACAAUUCGAAAACCUCCGAGGAAGGGAGAGAAACUAAGAUGGUGGCAUAGAUAAACACCGG
This is a long non-coding RNA of Myotis davidii, 354 nucleotides long. RefSeq lists it as uncharacterized. The record is from RefSeq and is a predicted model, not a curated record. Lineage: Eukaryota; Metazoa; Chordata; Mammalia; Chiroptera; Vespertilionidae. The transcript is spliced from 3 exons.